This 657-nucleotide unclassified non-coding RNA is filed under the name Hevea brasiliensis (rubber tree). The record is from RNAcentral. Lineage: Eukaryota; Viridiplantae; Streptophyta; Magnoliopsida; Malpighiales; Euphorbiaceae.
GGAAUGUAUCUGAAAAAGAAAUUUUACAUUGAAAUCCAUGUCAAGCUGCUUUCAUAAUGUAUUCAAAACUAUCUUAAGAAUCUAAAGAAUCAAGAAGUAGGCUGACAUUUCUAAACAACAUCCAAGGCUUUCUGUAACUCAAAUAUACUUUUGAUUCUUUAUUGGGACAUGAUUGCAGACCCACCACUCAUGUCUUAGACAACUUUUCGCCACCAUCAAGCAUUUGGCCAUCACGAACAAGGACUUCUUUGUUCCUUGAGAGUAGAUUCCUUCAGGCCAUUCGUUGUCAACUAUUAUUGGAGCUUACCUCUGAGCCUUCAAUUCCUUCACUCUCUCUUCAGUAGCCUUCAGUGCCUUCCCAUAAAUGCUGAUUAACUCAUCAACUUCUUGAGGAGACAUCAUAAAUGGUGGAGACAUCAUUAUAGUAUCCCCUGCAACACGUACUAGCAUACCAUUUUUCUGACAUUCGGCUCCAAAAUAUGCACCAACUCCCCAUUCAGGUGGGAAUGGAUCAUUUGGUGAUUUAUUGUCUACAAACUCUGUGCCUAAGAUCAAGCCAGUCCCCCGUAUCUCUCCAACGAUAGGGCUAUCAGAAAAAGCUUUUAGGCCGUCUUGAAAUCUUGAGGAGAUGCUAUUUACUUUCUCCACAAUAUUCCU